CGAAUGGGGAAACCCAGUGUGAUUCGUCACACUAUCAUUAACUGAAUCCAUAGGUUAAUGAGGCGAACCGGGGGAACUGAAACAUCUAAGUACCCCGAGGAAAAGAAAUCAACCGAGAUUCCCCCAGUAGCGGCGAGCGAACGGGGAGGAGCCCAGAGCCUGAAUCAGCAUGUGUGUUAGUGGAAGCGUCUGGAAAGGUGCGCGAUACAGGGUGACAGCCCCGUACACAAAAGCGCAUGUGCUGUGAGCUCGAUGAGUAGGGCGGGACACGUGGUAUCCUGUCUGAAUAUGGGGGGACCAUCCUCCAAGGCUAAAUACUCCUGACUGACCGAUAGUGAACCAGUACCGUGAGGGAAAGGCGAAAAGAACCCCGGCGAGGGGAGUGAAAAAGAACCUGAAACCGUGUACGUACAAGCAGUGGGAGCACCCUUCGGGGUGUGACUGCGUACCUUUUGUAUAAUGGGUCAGCGACUUAUAUUCUGUAGCAAGGUUAACCGUAUAGGGGAGCCGUAGGGAAACCGAGUCUUAACCGGGCGUUAAGUUGCAGGGUAUAGACCCGAAACCCGGUGAUCUAGCCAUGGGCAGGUUGAAGGUUGGGUAACACUAACUGGAGGACCGAACCGACUAAUGUUGAAAAAUUAGCGGAUGACCUGUGGCUGGGGGUGAAAGGCCAAUCAAACCGGGAGAUAGCUGGUUCUCCCCGAAAGCUAUUUAGGUAGCGCCUCGUGAAUUCAUCUCCGGGGGUAGAGCACUGUUUCGGCUAGGGGGCCAUCCCGGCUUACCAACCCGAUGCAAACUGCGAAUACCGGAGAAUGUUAUCACGGGAGACACACGGCGGGUGCUAACGUCCGUCGUGAAGAGGGAAACAACCCAGACCGCCAGCUAAGGUCCCAAAGUCAUGGUUAAGUGGGAAACGAUGUGGGAAGGCCCAGACAGCCAGGAUGUUGGCUUAGAAGCAGCCAUCAUUUAAAGAAAGCGUAAUAGCUCACUGGUCGAGUCGGCCUGCGCGGAAGAUGUAACGGGGCUAAACCAUGCACCGAAGCUGCGGCAGCGAACGUAUCACCCAAGACAACUUUACGGAGUUGACGAUUGACGGAGCGAAGCGACGUCAAAGCGUUCAUUAAAGUCGAGUUGGCUUAGGGAUACGUUCGUUGGGUAGGGGAGCGUUCUGUAAGCCUGUGAAGGUGUGUCGUGAGGCAUGCUGGAGGUAUCAGAAGUGCGAAUGCUGACAUAAGUAACGAUAAAGCGGGUGAAAAGCCCGCUCGCCGGAAGACCAAGGGUUCCUGUCCAACGUUAAUCGGGGCAGGGUGAGUCGACCCCUAAGGCGAGGCCGAAAGGCGUAGUCGAUGGGAAACGGGUUAAUAUUCCCGUACUUGGUGUUACUGCGAAGGGGGGACGGAGAAGGCUAUGUUGGCCGGGCGACGGUUGUCCCGGUUUAAGCGUGUAGGUGUGUGUUCCAGGUAAAUCCGGUUCACUUUAACACUGAGGCGUGACGACGAGGCACUACGGUGCUGAAGCAACAAAUGCCCUGCUUCCAGGAAAAGCCUCUAAGCAUCAGGUAACACGAAAUCGUACCCCAAACCGACACAGGUGGUCAGGUAGAGAAUACCAAGGCGCUUGAGAGAACUCGGGUGAAGGAACUAGGCAAAAUGGUGCCGUAACUUCGGGAGAAGGCACGCUGACACGUAGGUGAAGUGAUUUACUCAUGGAGCUGAAGUCAGUCGAAGAUACCAGCUGGCUGCAACUGUUUAUUAAAAACACAGCACUGUGCAAACACGAAAGUGGACGUAUACGGUGUGACGCCUGCCCGGUGCCGGAAGGUUAAUUGAUGGGGUCAGCGCAAGCGAAGCUCCUGAUCGAAGCCCCGGUAAACGGCGGCCGUAACUAUAACGGUCCUAAGGUAGCGAAAUUCCUUGUCGGGUAAGUUCCGACCUGCACGAAUGGCGUAAUGAUGGCCAGGCUGUCUCCACCCGAGACUCAGUGAAAUUGAACUCGCUGUGAAGAUGCAGUGUACCCGCGGCAAGACGGAAAGACCCCGUGAACCUUUACUAUAGCUUGACACUGAACAUUGAGCCUUGAUGUGUAGGAUAGGUGGGAGGCUUUGAAGUGUGGACGCCAGUCUGCAUGGAGCCGACCUUGAAAUACCACCCUUUAAUGUUUGAUGUUCUAACGUGGACCCGUAAUCCGGGUUGCGGACAGUGUCUGGUGGGUAGUUUGACUGGGGCGGUCUCCUCCUAAAGAGUAACGGAGGAGCACGAAGGUUGGCUAAUCCUGGUCGGACAUCAGGAGGUUAGUGCAAUGGCAUAAGCCAGCUUGACUGCGAGCGUGACGGCGCGAGCAGGUGCGAAAGCAGGUCAUAGUGAUCCGGUGGUUCUGAAUGGAAGGGCCAUCGCUCAACGGAUAAAAGGUACUCCGGGGAUAACAGGCUGAUACCGCCCAAGAGUUCAUAUCGACGGCGGUGUUUGGCACCUCGAUGUCGGCUCAUCACAUCCUGGGGCUGAAGUAGGUCCCAAGGGUAUGGCUGUUCGCCAUUUAAAGUGGUACGCGAGCUGGGUUUAGAACGUCGUGAGACAGUUCGGUCCCUAUCUGCCGUGGGCGCUGGAGAACUGAGGGGGGCUGCUCCUAGUACGAGAGGACCGGAGUGGACGCAUCACUGGUGUUCGGGUUGUCAUGCCAAUGGCACUGCCCGGUAGCUAAAUGCGGAAGAGAUAAGUGCUGAAAGCAUCUAAGCACGAAACUUGCCCCGAGAUGAGUUCUCCCUGAGACUUAGAGUCUCCUGAAGGAACGUUGAAGACGACGACGUUGAUAGGCCGGGUGUGUAAGCGCAGCGAUGCGUUGAGCUAACCGGUACUAAUGAACCGUGAGGCUUAACCUU
Molecule: ribosomal RNA, 2875 nt
Filed under: Salmonella enterica subsp. enterica serovar Typhimurium str. DT104
Lineage: Bacteria; Pseudomonadati; Pseudomonadota; Gammaproteobacteria; Enterobacterales; Enterobacteriaceae
Description: bacterial LSU rRNA
Rfam family: Bacterial large subunit ribosomal RNA
Source: RNAcentral